CAUUUCAUCGAUUGCUAAACCAUUUCUCCACCGCCUUUUUUUUCUUACUUUCGAUUUAUUAUGAUUUUGUUGUCUCUGAUCGUCUUUGUUGUUUGUUUUGCAGAGUAAGUCAAUGGGUGAUUGUCGCAUGAUCCAUGGGAAAAAGUUUGAUGGAACGAAGAAAUUGGGUAGGUCAAUGGGAGAUUGUCGCAUGGUCCAUGGAAAAAAGUUUGAUGGAAGGAAGAAAUUGUGUAACCAGUUAUCAACAAGUUGUUGCAACGGGAACUUGAGUACUGACUUGAUUUGAGGUGUAUCAAGAUGAGGAUAUUACAUUAUCCCUUUAAAGCUUCAUUAGUUGUUGGAUAAACCUCCAAAAUACACAGACAACAUGAUUUUCUUUUCCGCGGCUUCGGUUUAAUAAGAAGGUAAUAAUAUUAACAGUGAUCUUGAUUCUUUUACUCUAUUUAGUUUUCGUCAGUUAUAAUGCUCGCGAAUAUGAUAUGAAUGAAAAGGAAUAACCCACUUCCUUUCUCUAAGUACAUAUACACUAAUAUGAUAUGUGUCUCGAUUUUUUUAGUGUGUAAACAUAUAAAUUAGAAGUUAUGAUCACUUGAUUUGAAUUUCUGUCAUCUAAUCAAAAAUAUUCCAAUGCAAUAGCAUUUUCCCCCUGUCUUUUUGUUGGUAAAAAUGAAUAUGUAUGUCGAUUUUAUUUCUAUUGCAGGUUUGCGUGUGUAGUCUGUUAGAAAAUUAUUACACUCUUAGACCUAGGAGAUUUAAUUUAAAGAUAAUUAAAUUUUUUAUUUUUUAGUGAGCAAGAAUUGCAUUUGGGCUUAUACUUUGUUCCAGUUUGGGAUGGUUAUAUUUUAUGUGCCCAUAUCUUUACAAGCACCGAUCUCAUAUAUAGGUGGCAAGACUCGGCGUAUUGAUCUUUGUUGUUAAUACAUAUGAACCAUUUAUAAGGAAUUCAGGACUAUACAAAUAUACAAUGUUAUUUCAUCCUUUGUCAUCAAAAGCUGUAUGAUAACAAACUUUUCGGGUUCCAUGCGGAGAGUUCGAUCCUAAUUGCACACUCAGCUUCCUUGCUGCCCGUAGAACAAAUUCAUUCAACUCGAGGAACACGAAUAUGUUUUCCGAACCAUUUUCAAAUUAAUUUUGUCCCCAUGGUUUAUGUUAUUUGACUCAAAAAUGCAAACCAUUCAUGUGAUUCUGUUGUUCAGUUCAGUCUGAUAGAGCAUACGGUAUAGGAAUUGGUUUAAAAUAAACUUGGAGAAGGAUAAGGAAAGAGAGAAACCAAUUCCAACGACAAGACAAAGGAUAAUCCCAUCCUUUUGUUUAGUUAAUUUUAAUUAAGUAAGUGAACGUAAAAAAAUUAAUGUA
Molecule: long non-coding RNA, 1356 nt
Organism: Papaver somniferum (opium poppy)
Lineage: Eukaryota; Viridiplantae; Streptophyta; Magnoliopsida; Ranunculales; Papaveraceae
Exons: 4
Source: RefSeq, a predicted model, not a curated record